AUCCAUGGCCAUACUGGACUGAAUGCACUCAAAGUCAUGUGAGAUCAGAAGAUAAACUGUCCUGGGCCUGGCUAGUACUUGGAUGCAAGACCACCUGGGAAUUUCAAGUGCUGUAUGCA
Ribosomal RNA from Chelonoidis abingdonii (Abingdon island giant tortoise), 119 nucleotides. The record is from Ensembl. NCBI's taxonomy places the organism in Eukaryota, Metazoa, Chordata, Testudines, Testudinidae.